Molecule: small nucleolar RNA, 151 nt
Organism: Arabidopsis thaliana (thale cress)
Lineage: Eukaryota; Viridiplantae; Streptophyta; Magnoliopsida; Brassicales; Brassicaceae
Source: RefSeq
UCGGGACUGGAGUUUGACUCUUUAGCAAAAUAACGAUGCCAUAGAGAUGAAUGCAGCGCCCUAAAUAAAAAAGACCACAAUCGGAGAUCUAUCUCAGUUCUGUCCGAAAUCGAUUCCCUCGAUAUUGGACGCUGAGAUAGUUCUCACAUGU